Gossypium arboreum is the source of this 73-nucleotide transfer RNA. It matches the Rfam family "tRNA". From Rfam's summary of the family: Transfer RNA (tRNA) molecules are approximately 80 nucleotides in length. The record is from Rfam. NCBI's taxonomy places the organism in Eukaryota, Viridiplantae, Streptophyta, Magnoliopsida, Malvales, Malvaceae.
GCCCCCAUGGUCUAGUGGUUCAUGACACCUCUCUUUCAAUGAGGCAGCAGGGAUUCGACUUCCCCUGGGGGUA